UAGGGAAUAUUGGUCAAUGGAUGCAAGUCUGAACCAGCCAUGCCGCGUGCAGGAAGAAGGCCUUCUGGGUUGUAAACUGCUUUUGCCAGGGGAUAAAAUGGGCGUGCGCGCUUAAUUGAAGGUACCUGGUGAAUAAGCCACGGCUAACUACGUGCCAGCAGCCGCGGUAAUACGUAGGUGGCAAGCGUUGUCCGGAUUUAUUGGGUUUAAAGGGUGCGUAGGUGGUCCCAUAAGUCAGUGCUGAAAUAUCCCGGCUUAACCGGGAGGGUGGCAUUGAUACUGCGGGACUUGAGUAAAGUUGAGGUAGGCGGAAUUGACGGUGUAGCGGUGAAAUGCUUAGAUAUCGUCAAGAACACCUAUUGCGAAGGCAGCUUACUAAGCUUUAACUGACACUGAGGCACGAAAGUGUGGGGAUCAAACAG
RNAcentral lists this ribosomal RNA (422 nucleotides) under uncultured bacterium. RNAcentral describes it as "bacterial SSU rRNA". It matches the Rfam family "Bacterial small subunit ribosomal RNA", at positions 355 to 775 of the family's 1533-position model. The record is from RNAcentral.